Molecule: ribosomal RNA, 247 nt
Filed under: uncultured archaeon
Lineage: Archaea
Description: partial 16S ribosomal RNA
Rfam family: Archaeal small subunit ribosomal RNA
Source: RNAcentral
CCGACGGUGAGGGACGAAAGCUGGGGGAGCAAACCGGAUUAGAUACCCGGGUAGUCCCAGCCGUAAACGAUGUGCGUUAGGUGUAUCGGUGACCACGAGUCACCGAGGUGCCGAAGAGAAAUCGUGAAACGUACCGCCUGGGAAGUACGGUCGCAAGGCUGAAACUUAAAGGAAUUGGCGGGGGAGCACCACAACAGGUGGAGCCUGCGGUUUAUUCGGACUCAACGCCGGAAAACUCACCAGAUAA